This 297-nucleotide ribosomal RNA is filed under the name uncultured bacterium. RNAcentral describes it as "partial 16S ribosomal RNA". It matches the Rfam family "Bacterial small subunit ribosomal RNA", at positions 28 to 334 of the family's 1533-position model. The record is from RNAcentral.
GACGAACGCUGGCGGCGUGCUUAACACAUGCAAGUCGAGCGGGCGUAGCAAUACGUCAGCGGCGGACGGGUGAGUAACGCGUGAGCAAUCUGCCUCUACCAACGGGAUAACACUUAGAAAUAGGUGCUAAUACCGUAUAAGACCACGAGCCUGCAUGGGCAUGUGGUAAAAGCUCCGACGGGUAGAGAUGAGCUCGCGUCCCAUUAGCUAGUUGGUAGGGUAACGGCCUACCAAGGCGACGAUGGGUAGCCGACCUGAGAGGGUGAUCGGCCACAUUGGAACUGAGAAACGGUCCAA